This is a transfer RNA of 74 nucleotides. It matches the Rfam family "tRNA". From Rfam's summary of the family: Transfer RNA (tRNA) molecules are approximately 80 nucleotides in length. Their secondary structure includes four short double-helical elements and three loops (D, anti-codon, and T loops).
GCGGGCGUCGUAAAAUGGUAUUACCCUUGCCUUCCAAGCAAGCGUCGCGGGUUCGAUUCCCGCCGCCCGCUCCA